GGCUCGGUGGUGUAGUUGGUUAUCACGUCAGUCUAACAGGGCAAAGCCCCUUCACACACUGAAGGUCCCGAGUUCAAUCCUCGGCUGAGUCA
This 92-nucleotide transfer RNA is filed under the name Ophiobolus disseminans. RNAcentral describes it as "tRNA-Val". Lineage: Eukaryota; Fungi; Ascomycota; Dothideomycetes; Pleosporales; Phaeosphaeriaceae. The record is from RNAcentral.